UCUACCGCCUCAAUUGUUUCAGCA
Molecule: non-coding RNA, 24 nt
Filed under: Arabidopsis thaliana (thale cress)
Lineage: Eukaryota; Viridiplantae; Streptophyta; Magnoliopsida; Brassicales; Brassicaceae
Source: RNAcentral